RNAcentral lists this ribosomal RNA (393 nucleotides) under uncultured bacterium. RNAcentral describes it as "partial 16S ribosomal RNA". It matches the Rfam family "Bacterial small subunit ribosomal RNA", at positions 523 to 918 of the family's 1533-position model. The record is from RNAcentral.
AUACGUAGGUGACAAGCGUUAUCCGGAUUUACUGGGCGUAAAGGGCGUGUAGGCGGUCUUGCAAGUCAGAAGUGAAAUUCCUGAGCUCAACUCGGGCGCUGCUUCUGAAACUGCAGGACUUGAGUGCUGGAGGGGAUAGCGGAAUUCCUAGUGGAGCGGUAAAAUGCGCAGAUAUUAGGAAGAACAACGGUGGCGAAGGCGGCUAUCUGGACAGUAACUGACGCUGAGGCGCGAAAGCGUGGGGAGCAAACAGGAUUAGAUACCCUGGUAGUCCACGCUAUAAACGAUGAGUGCUAGGUGUCGGGGGUCAAACCUCGGUGCCGCAGUUAACACAUUAAGCACUCCGCCUGGGGAGUACGGCCGCAAGGCUGAAACUCAAAGGAAUUGGCGGGG